RNAcentral lists this ribosomal RNA (494 nucleotides) under uncultured bacterium. RNAcentral's name for it is "partial 16S ribosomal RNA". It matches the Rfam family "Bacterial small subunit ribosomal RNA", at positions 28 to 506 of the family's 1533-position model. The record is from RNAcentral.
GACGAACGCUGGCGGCGUGCCUAAUACAUGCAAGUAGAACGCUAAAGGAGGAGCUUGCUUCUCUGGAGGAGUUGCGAACGGGUGAGUAACGCGUAGGUAACCUGCCUGGUAGCGGGGGAUAACUAUUGGAAACGAUAGCUAAUACCGCAUAAUAGUAGAUGUUGCAUUACAUUUGCUUAAAAGUUGCAAUUUCAUCGCUACCAUGUGGACCUGCGUUGUAUUAGCUAGGUGGGGGGGGAACGGCACACCAACGCGACGGUACAUAGCCGACCUGAGAGGGUGAUCGGCCCAACUGGGAAUGAGACAAGGCCCAGACUCCUACGGGAGGCAGCAGUAGGGAAUUUUCGGCAAUGGACGGAAGUCUGAACGAGCAACGCCGCGUGAGUGAAGAAGGUCUUCGGAUCGUAAAGCUCUGUUGUAAGAGAAGAACGAGUGUGAGAGUGGAAAGUCCACACUGUGACGGUAUCUUAAGAGAAAGGGCCGGCUAACUACGU